RNAcentral lists this transfer RNA (70 nucleotides) under Dipodomys ordii (Ord's kangaroo rat). It matches the Rfam family "tRNA". Rfam says of the family: Transfer RNA (tRNA) molecules are approximately 80 nucleotides in length. Their secondary structure includes four short double-helical elements and three loops (D, anti-codon, and T loops). The record is from Rfam by way of RNAcentral. Lineage: Eukaryota; Metazoa; Chordata; Mammalia; Rodentia; Heteromyidae.
GGGAAUGUGGCUUAGUGGUAGAGUGCUUGCCUAGCAUGCAUGAGGCCCUAGGAUCAAUCCUGCAGUGCCA